Balaenoptera ricei (Rice's whale) is the source of this 4416-nucleotide long non-coding RNA. RefSeq lists it as uncharacterized. The record is from RefSeq and is a predicted model, not a curated record. The transcript has 4 exons. Lineage: Eukaryota; Metazoa; Chordata; Mammalia; Artiodactyla; Balaenopteridae.
GGUCACCUGACUUGCUCACCCAGCCACAGAGAGAGAAGCUGGACAAGGGAGAGCUGAAGAGCCAGACCCACCCCUAGAAGACACUUGCAGCAAGGAGGCAAGAGGAGUCAGUCCACAAAAGAAAUCCAAGUUGCGGGAAAAGGUCAACGUUUCCAUCUCCUCACCUCUCCGGAAGUACGUUUGUCACGGAUGCCGUGAUGCACCUGCCUGACCCCCCUUCAGAACCAAGGUGCUCAUUCCUGCCACUCAAUGCUCCUGGAUCACAGCUGAGUCUCUUCCCAGGAAUCGUCCUAGGCCAAAGGGAGCUGCCUUACUCAAGUAAGCAGACCCAGGAACCAACAUCAGCUGCAAGGUGGUGGUGUCCUGCCUCUUUUGUCACACGUGAUGCCAGCAGUGGGAAGAGAACUUUUUCAGUAGCAAAGGUGAUGAACUUGUGAGAUUUUCAAACCUGCAGACGUGACUUGAAUGGCUUCCCUUUGGGUAAUGGACACUGGCUAGAGACCUAGAAAGGGAUCGGCCACAGGGUGAACUACUUGAGAGAACCAGCAUGGUUUCCAGCACAUGGUGUCGAGCAAAUGGGGAGCAAAGAACUCGUGCUUAGGUUCUGCAGGGGAUGGCCAGUGGGACACAUUACUACGGCUUUCAGUCUGCACGGUGCCGGCAUCGGGCAUCGACAUCGCUGUUGUGAUGAAGACUUACCCUUCUCCAGCGCUUAUCACCCUGAAAGGAUCGCAGCUUGGUAAAGCAGUCGCAGAAGGACACACGCUCCCUGCUUCAGGCUCCGGUUCCCCAGCACUCCAUCCCCCGUAGUCACAGGGGGUGGAGGAAGCGUCUGUGGGCUCAAUACAGUGGACCAAGUGGUUGGGCUUCAUAAAGGCCCCGCCCACAGACACCUGGAGCUAACAGACACUCACAGGCACGAGGUUCCAGCCAAAAGGGAUGGAAAAAUUCACAGACUCUCCAUGUGGCUUCUGGAUGGAAUAGAAGACUCCAAAAUGGACUUAGAACUCACAGCGGGAGCUGCAAGUCAGGGGCCAUAUGCUCAAGCCACAGAGUUGCCUGGGACUGCAGAGAUCAGACUCGCAGAGGCUGAAACUGGAAAUCUUUAGGUUUUGAUUUAAAGGUUUCCAUUGAUGGGACACCUACUGAGUGCCAGGCACCGUGCUAGCAGCUUUGCGUCUAUUGUAUCUAAUCUUUCCAGCCACCCUACAGAGUAGGUGUUAUUAUCCUCAUUUUAGAAGUCAGGAAGCAGAGGCAAAGGCUACGAUUUCCCUUUUCAUGGUUCUCGGUCUUUACUAAGUUAAUGCAGCAUGAUCAGAGGGUCCUAGUUUUACAAGGUAUCAGAACUGGAAGGGAUGUUAGAGGUCAUGUCUACCAUCUGAGGAUAACGAUGAAAAAAGAUCCAAAGUGAGAAAAGUAAAUUAUUUUGCUCAAGGACACACAGCCGAGCUGGCACCUCCUCCCAGGCCUCUGGGCUUGCCGUGUGGACCUGUCUUUUCUUCUCCGUGUAACAGCAGGGGAACACAGAGAUGUCAUUGCCGUCUGGGAGGAAUGGAACAAAUGUCAAGGCCUGUCUGUCUCUAAGCAGUGAUCACCACAGACAUGGCCGUUUUCAAACCGAUUCUCACUUGAUCUGCUCAACGUUCCUUAAAAAGGAGGGAAGGGGAAGCUUUGCAGUUUUGGAAGAUGAAGCAACUUGCAGAUGAUGAAAAGGGACAUCCGUGUCUAUCAAAUGUUUUAAGCCCCCCAGGGGAAAGAUGCAGGAGGAGGGUGAACUGUUUUGGUAUUUUCUUAUUUCCAUCAUCUUGUGAUCUUAGGUGUCACACACUGGGAAAUCUUCCCUUCAAGACAGUAAUGAGUUGCUUUUUUUCACUCCUUGGUUUUCUCCAAACUGCUUGGGGUUGCAGUGGAAAGCUCUUCUAGAAAUGUCCCUGUUUCAUCUCACCACGUCUCUAGGGAGUGUAUAGUCUACAUUCACAGCCAUAACAUAAACCCCAGUCUCUUUGAGCCACACGCAGGAUUGCCCAGAUGCGGGCAUCUGGCAACUCAGAAAUGGUUCUACGUGCUGGGGUCUGGCUGCAGCACCACAUGAAGGAUGGUUAAGAAGCAUUAGGGCUGAAAGGGAUCUUGGAGGCUAUUUCAAACUCUUAUUUUCUGAAUCACAUGGUACCUGUUUUUCAUUAAACAGUGGCUUUCAGAAAUUCUCAGGGAUUGAACCUGUUAGUAUAGUGACGGUCAGGGUCAUUUGCAAAGGCACAGAAUAAGCAGUUUAGAUGCUCGGUUCUACUUUUCACUUUGAAUGUUCUUUAUGAGCCAGUUUUAUUUACCUGUUAAAUCAAUAAAAUACUGGAUGAACACAUGUUUUUAAAUGGAAUGAAAUAUAAAAUCCACACAAGUCUUAGUCAUGGUCCCUUCACUUCAGUCACUGGCUGACUUGCUGGUCCCUGAAAUUACCUCAUGACAAUGCCCACUAGAAAUAAGACUAAUAAUUUCUUCAAUUUGCUAUCAGUGCUUUACACUCUUAUCACAAAGGAUUGGAAGCUUUGAAGUUAAACUUUCAGGUCUACUUUCCCGCCUAACCUUCAAAAGCACCCUGCAAAGUAGAUGGGAAAGGGAUCUUUAUCCCCCAUUUUGCAGAUGAGCCAACUGAGGCACAGCCAGGUGAAAUAAUCAGACCAAGCUCACGCAGUGUGUUAGACACAGGAAUAAUGGGUCUCCUGAAUUCCGAUCAAGAAUUCGUUCUUCUGUAUUAUAUAGGGUAAGUGCUUAACGCUCCCAGAUUUGGAGGAUAUGUUUGGCCACUAAAGCUUUCUCCCAAGAUAGGAAAAACACCUGGCUGCCGCUUGCCCCACCACAGUAAUGGCCCCAUGCCUCAUGUGCACUCAAGCUUCCCUGCCUUGAUUCAUUCUGGUCCCUCUGAUGUGAAUGCCCUCUCCUCCCCUUCUCCAAAUGACCAGCUCCUCCUAAUCCAGUUUCAGGACAACUCAAAUCAUACCUCCUCUCCACGCGUUCCCUGAUUAAAUUCCUUUUCUAUGUCUUUGCAUGCCUUUGCUACAGCACGACAAUGGGCACCAAGCAGUAGCCAGGCAUUUCUUACGGAGUCACAGAAGGAAGAGAAGCCUGUGACCAACUAGAAGGCCAGCUUGUUGAGAUCUGGGAGCAGGUCUUUGUUUUUGUAUUUUCAUCACUUAACACAGUGCCUGGAAUAUAGUAGAUAUUUGACCUAAAGUUGUCCAGCACCUGAAAAAUAGGCUGCUCCUAAAAAGAAACAAGGUGACAGGCAAGGAGUGAUGUAGUAAAAGUGGAAACCAGGAUCUCAGCCUUCAGAUUUCAAGGUGGAUUUCUCGGGGCUAUGGAUAAGUUCCUGCAGUGCUGUGCAUCUGAGAUGGUUAUGAACCCUUUGGAGGCUGAGGGACUUGGAACCCCUUGUGAGAUGGAUCUACCAGCAGUUCCUGUUCUGAGGGAGUGAGAGCCCACUAACGCCUUGAGGGCUGAAUGCUGGUGUGCCAUGUACUGUUGCCUUAGACCAGAUUUUUCCUUCUAAGUGUCAAAAACAACUUUAGAUGGAGAAAAUGAACUGAGUGGGGUGAAAAAACCUAUGAGUCCCAGAAUAACCUCCAGCUUGGUAAUGAUUUAUCCUAUUUCAUUGUUAAUUUUGCAAUUAAGCAAGAGUACUUUAUAUGCCUGAAUAACCCAUGGACCGUAUCUUAAUCUAAUUAAUGUGUCUGUAACAGAAGACUGAUUCAGUGUUCAACUAUUAGGAUAACAAAUGAUGCAAAGCCCAAGUUUUCUCUCUCCUUUCUCUCUCCUCCCCUCACAAAACCCGCUGACACGAAAGGUCAACUGCCUGAAAGCCUGUUGUUUUGAUGACUGCUGUGAGAUUCUAUUGGUUAAAAAUGUGAGAAAACUGGCUACCUCCCCUCCCCGCCACUUCAAACCAACUGUAUGUAUGUGUGACAGUGUGUGUGUAAGUUUGGAUGAAAAAAAAAUUGUGGUUAAUUCUUCUUGUUGUAUACUUCCUGCCACUGACAUUUGUUGCUGCUGCUGUGUAAUGACGUUGAGGUUGGGUAGGAAAAUCAGAUGCAAAUGACCUAUUUAUUUAUUCCCCAAUUAUGACUACCCUUCUCAACUCCUGUUCUUGGAAAACCUGGAAAGCAGAGAAAGGGGUUCAGGAAAGCCAGCUGAACAUGGCAUUGCCCUGAAGCAACCCCUAGAACUUUAGGUCAUCCUAGUUGAUAAGAAAUUUGAAAAAAUAUGAUUCUGUUUAAUAAAAUGGUAUAUAUUUAAAAAAAUUAUAAGUCAUGAAUAAUGGCUUUUUAAUAAAGACUUUUGUGGUUUAGGCCAAGGACCAGGAUUUACAUCUCCCUGGGCUCAAUUCAUCAGCUUUUACAGGGACUUCAGCAAUAUUUUACCACC